AAAUUUUUAUGUUUUAAAAAAUUUAUUAUGAAUUUAUUUUACAUAUAAAUUUUAGUAUGAAAUUUUAAUUAUUUAAAUAAUAUUAAUGAAAAUUAUAGUAAUUGAAAUUAAAAAUUUAAGAAAUUAAGAUUUAGUAAUAUAAAAAUUAAUAACUAAUUUUGUGCCAGCAGUUGCGGUUAUACAAAAAUUAAAUUAAAUUAUUUCAGUAUUUAAUAAAUAAAAUAAAAUUAAAAUAAAUAUUAAAUUAUUAGGUAAAAUUUUAAUUUAAUUAAAUUUUAGGUUAAUUUUAUGAUUUAAUAAAUUUAGUAAUAAACUAGGAUUAGAUACCCUAUUAUUAAAAAUUUAAUUUAAAAUACUAAAAUAGUAGAUAAUAAAUAUUGAAACUUAAAUAAUAUGGCGGUAUUUUAGUUCAUUUAGAGGAAUCUGUUUAAUAAUUGAUAAUCCACGAAUAAAUUUACUUAAUUUAAUAUUUUAUAUAUCGUUGUUAAAAAAAUAUUUUAUAAUAAGAAUAAUAUUUAAAAAUUUUAAAAAUAAAUUAAUUCAGAUCAAGAUGUAGAUUAUAAUUAAGAAUAUGAUGGAUUACAAUAAAAUAAUUUAUAGCGGAUAAUUUAAUUUUAAUAUUAAUUUAAAGAUGGAUUUAAAUGUAAUUUUAAUUAAUUUAUUAAAGUGAUUAAAAAUUGAAAUAUGUACAUAUUGCCCGUCACUUUCAUUUAAAAAUUGAAAUAAGUCGUAACAAAGUAGAAGUACUGGAAAGUGUUUCUAGAAUGAA
RNAcentral lists this non-coding RNA (769 nucleotides) under Lethe nigrifascia. The record is from RNAcentral. Lineage: Eukaryota; Metazoa; Arthropoda; Insecta; Lepidoptera; Nymphalidae.